UAAAAUUCUCAGGGCGGGGUGUAAUUCCCCACCGGCGGUAUGUUGACUUACGCACUUUCAUUGUUGUAGUUGAUGAGCCCGCGAGCGCUCGAUUUUUCGAGGUCAGCAGAUCUGGUGAGAGGCCAGAGCCGACGGUUAUAGUCCGGAUGAGAGAGAAUGAAA
This 162-nucleotide non-coding RNA is filed under the name Vibrio aestuarianus. RNAcentral describes it as "FMN". It matches the Rfam family "FMN riboswitch aptamer (RFN element)". From Rfam's summary of the family: The RFN element is a highly conserved domain that is found frequently in the 5'-untranslated regions of prokaryotic mRNAs that encode for flavin mononucleotide (FMN) biosynthesis and transport proteins. The record is from RNAcentral. Lineage: Bacteria; Pseudomonadati; Pseudomonadota; Gammaproteobacteria; Vibrionales; Vibrionaceae.